This 492-nucleotide ribosomal RNA is filed under the name uncultured bacterium. Its description in RNAcentral is "partial 16S ribosomal RNA". It matches the Rfam family "Bacterial small subunit ribosomal RNA", at positions 29 to 507 of the family's 1533-position model. The record is from RNAcentral.
AGUGAACGCUGGCGGUAGGCCUAACACAUGCAAGUCGAACGGCAGCACAGUAAGAGCUUGCUCUUACGGGUGGCGAGUGGCGGACGGGUGAGGAAUACAUCGGAAUCUUCUUUUUCGUGGGGGAUAACGUAGGGAAACUUACGAUACUACCGCAUAUGAUCUACGGGUGAAAGCAGGGGAUCUUCGGACUUUGCGCGAUUGAAUGAGCUGAUGUCGGAUUAGCUAGUUGGCGGGGUAAAGGCCCACCAAGGCGACGAUCCGUAGCUGGUCUGAGAGGAUGAUCAGCCACACUGGAACUGAGACACGGUCCAGACUCCUACGGGAGGCAGCAGUGGGGAAUAUUGGACAAUGGGCGCAAGCCUGAUCCAGCCAUACCGCGUGGGUGAAGAAGGCCUUCGGGUUGUAAAGCCCUUUUGUUGGGAAAGAAAAGCAGCAGGUUAAUACCCCGCUGUUCUGACGGUACCCAAAGAAUAAGCACCGGCUAACUUCGUG